RNAcentral lists this ribosomal RNA (253 nucleotides) under uncultured bacterium. RNAcentral describes it as "partial 16S ribosomal RNA". It matches the Rfam family "Bacterial small subunit ribosomal RNA", at positions 524 to 776 of the family's 1533-position model. The record is from RNAcentral.
UACGUAGGGUGCGAGCGUUGUCCGGAUUUAUUGGGCGUAAAGAGCUCGUAGGCGGUUUGUCGCGUCGGCCGUGAAAACUUGGGGCUUAACCCCAAGCUUGCGGUCGAUACGGGCAGACUUGAGUUCGGCAGGGGAGACUGGAAUUCCUGGUGUAGCGGUGAAAUGCGCAGAUAUCAGGAGGAACACCGGUGGCGAAGGCGGGUCUCUGGGCCGACACUGACGCUGAGGAGCGAAAGCGUGGGGAGCGAACAGG